RNAcentral lists this long non-coding RNA (302 nucleotides) under Pan troglodytes (chimpanzee). RNAcentral's name for it is "long non-coding RNA NONPTRT005365". Lineage: Eukaryota; Metazoa; Chordata; Mammalia; Primates; Hominidae. The record is from RNAcentral.
AAAAUACAAAAAUUAGCUGGACGUGGUGAUGGGCACCUGUAAUCCCAGCUACUCAAGAGGCUGAGGCAGGAGAAUCGCUUGAACCCAGGAGGCGAAAGUUGCAGUGAGCCGAGAUCACGCCAUUCCCCUCCAGCAUGGGUGACAAGAGCUAAACUCCAUCUCACAAAACAACAACAACAACAACAACAGUUUAUACCAACUAUUUGGAUACACGGCUGAAUUUCUCUAGUUUUUAUCCAACUAUUAGAUGUUACAUAAUGAUAAUCUCUGUGACUUGUUUUUUUUUUUUUUUUUUUUUUGCU